GCUUAUGGCCAUACCACCCUGUCUGCGUCUGAUCUCGGAAGCUAAGCAGGGUCGGGCCUCAUUAGUACUUGGAUGGGAGACUGCCUGGGAAUACCAGUUGCUGUAAGCU
This 109-nucleotide ribosomal RNA is filed under the name Sinocyclocheilus anshuiensis. Lineage: Eukaryota; Metazoa; Chordata; Actinopteri; Cypriniformes; Cyprinidae. The record is from RNAcentral.